CAUUGAAAUACUGGUUCCCAUAUGAUCACCAAAGUUAAGUAACAUCAAGCCUUGUCAGUACCUAGAUGAAUGACUGCUUGGGAAUACCAGGUGCUGCAAGC
This 101-nucleotide ribosomal RNA is filed under the name Acanthosepion pharaonis. The record is from RNAcentral. Lineage: Eukaryota; Metazoa; Mollusca; Cephalopoda; Sepiida; Sepiidae.